Molecule: ribosomal RNA, 253 nt
Filed under: uncultured bacterium
Lineage: Bacteria
Description: partial 16S ribosomal RNA
Rfam family: Bacterial small subunit ribosomal RNA
Source: RNAcentral
UACGGGGGGGGCAAGCGUUGUUCGGAAUUACUGGGCGUAAAGGGCGCGUAGGCGGCGCAACAAGUCACUUGUGAAAUCUCCGGGCUUAACCCGGAGCGGCCAAGUGAUACUGUCGUGCUAGAGUGCGGAAGGGGCUACUGGAAUUCUCGGUGUAGCGGUGAAAUGCGUAGAUAUCGAGAGGAACACCUGCGGCGAAGGCGGGUAGCUGGGCCGACACUGACGCUGAAGCGCGAAAGCCAGGGGAGCGAACGGG